CGCGAACGCACCUUCGGGUGUUAUUAGAGUGGCGGACGGGUGAGUAACACGUGGGAACAUGCCUUUCGGUACGGAACAACGCUUGGAAACGAGUGCUAAUACCGUAUACGCCCUUCGGGGGAAAGAUUUAUCGCCGAAAGAUUGGCCCGCGCUAGAUUAGCUAGUUGGUAAGGUAAUGGCUUACCAAGGCGACGAUCUAUAGCUGGUUUGAGAGGAUGAUCAGCCACACUGGGACUGAGACACGGCCCAGACUCCUACGGGAGGCAGCAGUGGGGAAUAUUGGACAAUGGGGGCAACCCUGAUCCAGCGAUGCCGCGUGAGUGAUGAAGGCCUUAGGGUUGUAAAACUCUUUCAGAUGGGAUGAUAAUGACAGUACCAUCAGAAGAAGCACCGGCUAACUCCGUGCCAGCAGCCGCGGUAAUACGGAGGGUGCGAGCGUUAAUCGGAAUUACUGGGCGUAAAGCGCACGCAGGCGGUUAUAUAAGCUAGAUGUGAAAGCCCCGGGCUCAACCUGGGAAUAGCAUUUAGAACUGUAUGACUAGAGUCUUGGAGAGGGGAGUGGAAUUCCAGGUGUAGCGGUGAAAUGCGUAGAUAUCUGGAGGAACAUCAGUGGCGAAGG
Molecule: ribosomal RNA, 619 nt
Filed under: uncultured bacterium
Lineage: Bacteria
Description: bacterial SSU rRNA
Rfam family: Bacterial small subunit ribosomal RNA
Source: RNAcentral